RNAcentral lists this ribosomal RNA (253 nucleotides) under uncultured bacterium. RNAcentral's name for it is "partial 16S ribosomal RNA". It matches the Rfam family "Bacterial small subunit ribosomal RNA", at positions 524 to 776 of the family's 1533-position model. The record is from RNAcentral.
UACGUAGGGGCCUAGCGUUGUCCGGAAUUAUUGGGCGUAAAGAGCUCGUAGGCGGUCUGUCGCGUCUGCUGUGAAAACUCAGGGCUUAACCCUGAGCUUGCAGUGGGUACGGGCAGACUAGAGUGCGGUAGGGGAGACUGGAAUUCCUGGUGUAGCGGUGAAAUGCGCAGAUAUCAGGAGGAACACCGGUGGCGAAGGCGGGUCUCUGGGCCGUAACUGACGCUGAGGAGCGAAAGCAUGGGGAGCGAACAGG